RNAcentral lists this ribosomal RNA (697 nucleotides) under Salmonella enterica subsp. enterica. RNAcentral's name for it is "partial 23S ribosomal RNA". It matches the Rfam family "Bacterial large subunit ribosomal RNA", at positions 2238 to 2925 of the family's 2925-position model. The record is from RNAcentral. RNAcentral also lists the same sequence under 2 other names. Lineage: Bacteria; Pseudomonadati; Pseudomonadota; Gammaproteobacteria; Enterobacterales; Enterobacteriaceae.
AUCCGGGUUGCGGACAGUGUCUGGUGGGUAGUUUGACUGGGGCGGUCUCCUCCUAAAGAGUAACGGAGGAGCACGAAGGUUGGCUAAUCCUGGUCGGACAUCAGGAGGUUAGUGCAAUGGCAUAAGCCAGCUUGACUGCGAGCGUGACGGCGCGAGCAGGUGCGAAAGCAGGUCAUAGUGAUCCGGUGGUUCUGAAUGGAAGGGCCAUCGCUCAACGGAUAAAAGGUACUCCGGGGAUAACAGGCUGAUACCGCCCAAGAGUUCAUAUCGACGGCGGUGUUUGGCACCUCGAUGUCGGCUCAUCACAUCCUGGGGCUGAAGUAGGUCCCAAGGGUAUGGCUGUUCGCCAUUUAAAGUGGUACGCGAGCUGGGUUUAGAACGUCGUGAGACAGUUCGGUCCCUAUCUGCCGUGGGCGCUGGAGAACUGAGGGGGGCUGCUCCUAGUACGAGAGGACCGGAGUGGACGCAUCACUGGUGUUCGGGUUGUCAUGCCAAUGGCACUGCCCGGUAGCUAAAUGCGGAAGAGAUAAGUGCUGAAAGCAUCUAAGCACGAAACUUGCCCCGAGAUGAGUUCUCCCUGAGACUUAGAGUCUCCUGAAGGAACGUUGAAGACGACGACGUUGAUAGGCCGGGUGUGUAAGCGCAGCGAUGCGUUGAGCUAACCGGUACUAAUGAACCGUGAGGCUUAACCUUACAA